Non-coding RNA from Oryza sativa Japonica Group (Japanese rice), 2003 nucleotides. NCBI's taxonomy places the organism in Eukaryota, Viridiplantae, Streptophyta, Magnoliopsida, Poales, Poaceae. The record is from RefSeq and is a predicted model, not a curated record.
UGUCGACGUAUCUUGAUGCAGUACGAGAAAAGCGACUGGUCAACCUUCCUAUCCUCAUCCUCAGCCGCCGCUCGCACUCACCCGGAUCUUCCCCAAACCAACCUUGCCAACAUCGAGCAUGUGAGCAGUCGCCGGCACACUCUACCUCCUCCUCCUCCUCCCAUCCUUCACCUCUAGCCUCCCCCUCCUCUCUACUCAACUACUCAAGUUUCUCACGAGCAAAGUGGAGGCCCACGAUGGAGGGCGACCAGCAAUGCAGAGCUGGCCAUGGGUGGAGGCCGGCGACCACUCCUUCUUCUCUUGGUAUGGGCAGCGGUGGAGGAGGUGGAGGGCGCAUGCGGCAGAGUGACCGUGGCAUCAAGCGAUCCCUGGCCGCCAUCGAUCCAGCGCCAAGCUUGAAGAAGGAGGUCAAGGAUAAGGCUGGAUCACUGGUCCCACCUGGCUGCCACCAUCAGCCAUCGCUGUUAACCCAGCGACCAGCGUGGCAGAGCAAACUCUCGCGAGAAACGUGUGCCUGCCUCGUUGUUUCCCUCCUCCCAAAGCCUCCUCACCGAUGCCGCCUCCCCUCCUCCUCCUCCUCCUCCUCCUCCUCGGCGGCGCCGCCGCGGCGGAGGAGCCCCCGGCGGCGCCCUCCUCCUCCCCUCCGCCGCACAAGAACGCGACGCUCUCCGAGAUCCUCCCGCGCUACGGCCUGCCUCCGGGGCUGUUCCCCGCCAGCGUCACCGCCUUCUCCCUCGCCGCCAACGGCAGCCUCGCCGUCGACCUCGGGGGGCCCUGCUACGCCCACUACGAGUACCUCACCUACUUCGAGCCCCGCGUCACGGGGGUCCUCCGCUACGGCUCCCUCACCGGCCUCUCCGGGGUCAAGGUCCGCCGCUUCCUCGUCUGGUUCGACGUCGUCCGCGUCAAGGUCGACCUCCCGCCGCCCCCGCGCUACGUCUACCUCGACAUCGGCUGGAUCACCCGCAAGCUCCCCGCCGACGAGUUCGAGUCCCCCCACGAGUGCGAGGACUCCAAGAAAUGCCGCCUCUCGUCCGCGCUCGCCACGGUCGCCGCGUGGUUCCAGGUCUGACGGGCUCCUCCCCCUUUGUGAUUUCGAGCUGUUUGUGUUCGAUAGGUUCUUGAUUUAGGCUUGCCAAAUUAGUCUCUGGUUAGAAAUUAAUCUGCUGCCAAGUAGCAAUCGAGUUCAAUUUCCCGGAUUGUGUUAUUGUGCCGUCAAUUUCAAAGUUGAUAGCGGAACUAUGCUAAGAAUCUUCGCUGUUUCCUGGUGAUUGUUUCGUGUCCGACUUGUGUUCUUCCUGGCUGCUCACUCCUGUGGUGGUUAAUUUUGACUUCUAUAUAAUUACCUUGAGGUUGCGUAAUGCUGAAGGAAACGCAAGCUGAGAGUUGCUUCCUGUGGUAAUAUUUGACAUGGAAAAUGAAAUAUAUGGCAUAUUAGGUUGUUGUAAUAAAAUAGGGCUAUUGUGUAUUAUUGCAUCAUGCAGUUGGAAUAGUUUAAACAGACACGAGACGUGUUGCACAUUGGCUUAUGAAAAGAAAAAUGCAAUUGUACAGAACCAGGAAGGCAGGAAGCAAGGUCGUAUUAAGUCAAUAAAGCUCGAUAAGAUGAACUUCUUUGCCCAGUUUUAGGGGAUGGAGAAGGGAUUUGGUCUUGUGACAGUGUUACAUGAGCUUCGGGCCUUCCACGAGUGUAGUGAUUGCCAGCAUCCAACUACAGAAGAAUAAGCAGUGGUUGAGAUAUUUCUCUACAGCUUCUAUAUUGUCUUAGAUGCACAUUUGCUCAUGCCCGAGAGACACAUGAUCUUGUGGAGAUUUAUUGGUCAUUUUGAUCCAUGAUACUGGAGCGUGCUCCAUGAUUCAAAUGCAAUUACACCUGUUAAGUAGUGAUCAUUUUAUACUAAUAGCAAGUAAACUGACAUGAUGCUCGAGGUGAUUAAAGAUUCAUAGAACAUUUUAGCUGAUAUUCCUAAGUUACACCAGACUAAUUAAUUUUUAUUCUGUUC